GACGAACGCUGGCGGCGUGCUUAACACAUGCAAGUCGAACGGAAAGGCCCUGCUUUUGUGGGGUGCUCGAGUGGCGAACGGGUGAGUAACACGUGAGUAACCUGCCCUUAACUUUGGGAUAACUUUAGGAAACUGGGGCUAAUAUCGGAUAGGAGCUCCUGCUGCAUGGUGGGGGUUGGAAAGUUUCGGCGGUUGGGGCUGGACUAGCGGCUUAUCAGCUUGUUGGUGGGGUAGUGGCUUACCAAGGCUUUGACGGGUAGCCGGCCUGAGAGGGUGACCGGCCACAUGGGGACUGAGGGACGCCCCAGACGCCUACGGGAGGCAACAGUGGGGAAUAUUGCACAAUGGGCGGAAGCCUGAUGCAGCAACGCCGCGUGCGGGAUGACGGCCUUCUGGUUGUAAACCGCUUUCGCCUGUGACGAAGCGUGAGUGACGGUAAUGGGUAAAGAAGCACCGGCUAACUACGUG
This 468-nucleotide ribosomal RNA is filed under the name uncultured bacterium. RNAcentral's name for it is "partial 16S ribosomal RNA". It matches the Rfam family "Bacterial small subunit ribosomal RNA", at positions 28 to 507 of the family's 1533-position model. The record is from RNAcentral.